CUCAGGUUGACGAGUCCCAAAUAGGAUGAAAUGCGCAUCCUGGAU
Trichobilharzia regenti is the source of this 45-nucleotide non-coding RNA. The record is from Rfam. Lineage: Eukaryota; Metazoa; Platyhelminthes; Trematoda; Strigeidida; Schistosomatidae.